UGGGGAAUUUUGGACAAUGGGCGAAAGCCUGAUCCAGCAAUGACGCGUGUGUGAAGAAGGCCUUCGGGUUGUAAAGCACUUUUGUCCGGAAAGAAAUCCUUGGCUCUAAUACAGUCGGGGGAUGACGGUACCGGAAGAAUAAGCACCGGCUAACUACGUGCCAGCAGCCGCGGUAAUACGUAGGGUGCAAGCGUUAAUCGGAAUUACUGGGCGUAAAGCGUGCGCAGGCGGUUUGCUAAGACCGAUGUGAAAUCCCCGGGCUCAACCUGGGAACUGCAUUGGUGACUGGCAGGCUAGAGUAUGGCAGAGGGGGGUAGAAUCCCACGUGUAGCAGUGAAAUGCGUAGAGAUGUGGAGGAAUACCGAUGGCGAAGGCAGCCCCCUGGGCCAAUACUGACGCUCAUGCACGAAAGCGUGGGGAGCAAACAGGAUUAGAUACCCUGGUAGUCCACGCCCUAAACGAUGUCAACUAGUUGUUGGGGAUUCAUUUCCUUAGUAACGUAGCUAACGCGUGAAGUUGACCGCCUGGGGAGUACGGUCGCAAGAUUAAAACUCAAAGGAAUUGACGGGGUCAUAGCUGUUUCCU
RNAcentral lists this ribosomal RNA (585 nucleotides) under uncultured bacterium. RNAcentral's name for it is "partial 16S ribosomal RNA". It matches the Rfam family "Bacterial small subunit ribosomal RNA", at positions 355 to 1375 of the family's 1533-position model. The record is from RNAcentral.